UGUACUACUGAGUACCGGGAAUAAAAGCUGUGACGCGUAAGAAGCAUCUCACACGUCCCUUCUCGUUGUUUUGUAUACAGGUGCAUUAAUUUGGCGCCGAGCUGAGCAGAUUCCGCACUACACUCCCCUUCACCAAGGCAAGGAGAAUCUUUGUCUGCCAGUGUCCACCUGUACGCGCAUCAUAAAGGAGAAAUAUGCACUACUAGCCAAUACUAUAUUGCAAACCGGACCACGAUGUCGUAUAACUGGGCAAACGUGGCCUAAAACUGAGCAAUGCAAACUCUUUAGGUGCAGGUACAGCGUGGUCAUGCGUUCCCUCACAGGACAUUGGCUAUUAGGCAACCAUGGGAUCGGACCACUGCAGACUUUAUGUACCACAGGAUGAAGAACAGGAAACGAUCUAAAGCAAAAUCACAACGGGCCAAAACCGGCCUAAGUGAGCCUGGAUCGUGUCGAUUCCGACAACAGCCUCUACCUAAACUCACUUAACGAACAGCAAGUACCGCUCCAGUAACAUAAAACUUUGCUAAAUAUU
This 535-nucleotide long non-coding RNA is filed under the name Drosophila guanche. The record is from RNAcentral. Lineage: Eukaryota; Metazoa; Arthropoda; Insecta; Diptera; Drosophilidae.